RNAcentral lists this ribosomal RNA (433 nucleotides) under uncultured bacterium. Its description in RNAcentral is "partial 16S ribosomal RNA". It matches the Rfam family "Bacterial small subunit ribosomal RNA", at positions 29 to 507 of the family's 1533-position model. The record is from RNAcentral.
AACGAACGCUGGCGGCAUGCCUAACACAUGCAAGUCGAACGAGACCUUCGGGUCUAGUGGCGCACGGGUGCGUAACGCGUGGGAACCUGCCCUUAGGUUCGGAAUAACUCCCCGAAAGGGGUGCUAAUACCGGAUAAUGUCUUCGGUCCAUAGAUUUAUCGCCUUUGGAUGGGCCUGCGUUGGAUUAGCUAGUUGGUAGGGUAAAAGCCUACCAAGGCGACGAUCCAUAGCUGGUCUGAGAGGAUGAUCAGCCACACUGGGACUGAGACACGGCCCAGACUCCUGCGGGAGGCAGCAGUGGGUAAUAUUGGACAAUGGGCUAAAGCCUGAUCCAGCAAUGCCGCGUGAGUGAUGAAGGCCGGAGGGUUGUAAAGCUCUUUUACCCGGGAUGAUAAUGACAGUACCGGGAGAAUAAGCUCCGGCUAACUCCGUG